Molecule: ribosomal RNA, 393 nt
Filed under: uncultured bacterium
Lineage: Bacteria
Description: partial 16S ribosomal RNA
Rfam family: Bacterial small subunit ribosomal RNA
Source: RNAcentral
AUACGGAGGAUCCGAGCGUUAUCCGGAUUUAUUGGGUUUAAAGGGAGCGUAGGUGGGAUAUUAAGUCAGCUGUGAAAGUUUGGGGCUCAACCUUAAAAUUGCAGUUGAUACUGGUUUCCUUGAGUACGGUACAGGUGGGCGGAAUUCGUGGUGUAGCGGUGAAAUGCUUAGAUAUCACGAAGAACUCCGAUCGCGAAGGCAGCUCACCGGGCCGGAACUGACACUGAUGCUCGAAAGUGCGGGUAUCAAACAGGAUUAGAUACCCUGGUAGUCCGCACAGUAAACGAUGAAUACUCGCUGUUUGCGAUACACUGUAAGCGACCAAGCGAAAGCGUUAAGUAUUCCACCUGGGGAGUACGCCGGCAACGGUGAAACUCAAAUGAAUUGACGGGG